UCUCCUCACAUUGAUUUUUUUACCCUCACAAUAAAAACUUUCCUAACUUUUCCAAAGUUUCCUAACUAGACACGUUAUAAACGGGCAUGUACCGAUAGCACGUUAUCAAUUAAUAAAAUUUUGUUUUAUGACAAUCAAUUCCAAAUCCUAAUUUUCCUAAUGCAUCGAUCUUUGCCUUUUUUAAGUAGUUAUUUUGAUAGGGAGGGUUUAGCCACGAAAAUCAUCCCUCCAUCGUCGGCUGCAUCCCUCACCCACGUCGCUGUUGCAGGAUCUUCAUCCGUCAUCCUGAGCAAUUGGGGCGGCGAUGCGGGCGAGCUUCACGAUAGUGGGGAGGACCAGGCCGCGGUGAAGGCAGGUCAUGCGCUCCUCACGCUCCACGAACGGAACCUGCGCACGGAGGCGGUAGCGCGGGGUGGCAGCCGGCAAUGAGGCGGCCGCGCUACGUGACGAGCUACGGGUCCCCCUUUGUGAUGUUUUGGCAUCGCUCCUUCAUCGCACAUCCUCAGGCGAUGGCGGUGGUGUCGCUGAUGGCGGCGAGGACAGCAUGUGGCAGCUCCCGAAGCAUGAACACGACCGCACCUCGGGCCUGCCGUCUGCCAAGAUAUGGCUCUGGCCGAUUGACAAUGGAGGUUUGGGAUCCUUCCUCUCAGCACCCACUCCUGGAAGAAUCAGCGGUGCGCCACGCCGAUUGAACCCCGUCGAGAUCACUCGCCAAGAUUGCUAUUCUAAAGUUUAUU
Triticum aestivum (bread wheat) is the source of this 737-nucleotide long non-coding RNA. RefSeq lists it as uncharacterized. Lineage: Eukaryota; Viridiplantae; Streptophyta; Magnoliopsida; Poales; Poaceae. The transcript is spliced from 3 exons. The record is from RefSeq and is a predicted model, not a curated record.